Molecule: ribosomal RNA, 279 nt
Filed under: uncultured Bacteroides sp.
Lineage: Bacteria; Pseudomonadati; Bacteroidota; Bacteroidia; Bacteroidales; Bacteroidaceae
Description: partial 16S ribosomal RNA
Rfam family: Bacterial small subunit ribosomal RNA
Source: RNAcentral
AGCGGGAUUUGAAGCUUGCUUCAAUCGCCGGCGACCGGCGCACGGGUGAGUAACGCGUAUCCAACCUUCCGUACACUCAGGGGAUAGCCUUUUCGAAAGAAAGAUUAAUACCUGAUGGUAUGAUGAGAUUGCAUGAUAGCAUCAUUAAAGAUUUAUCGGUAAGCGAUGGGGAUGCGUUCCAUUAGGUAGUAGGCGGGGUAACGGCCCACCUAGCCGACGAUGGAUAGGGGUUCUGAGAGGAAGGUCCCCACAUUGGAACUGAGACACGGUCCAAACUCC